GAGCCAAAGCUUCCAAGUUGCGCUGC
RNAcentral lists this non-coding RNA (26 nucleotides) under Rattus norvegicus (Norway rat). Lineage: Eukaryota; Metazoa; Chordata; Mammalia; Rodentia; Muridae. The record is from RNAcentral.